This 510-nucleotide ribosomal RNA is filed under the name uncultured bacterium. Its description in RNAcentral is "bacterial SSU rRNA". It matches the Rfam family "Bacterial small subunit ribosomal RNA", at positions 8 to 513 of the family's 1533-position model. The record is from RNAcentral.
AGGGUUCGAUUAUGGCUCAGGAUGAACGCUAGCGGCAGGCUUAACACAUGCAAGUCGAGGGGUAACAUUGUAGCUUGCUACAGAUGACGACCGGCGCACGGGUGCGUAACGCGUAUACAAUCUACCUUAUACAGAGGGAUAGGCCAAAGAAAUUUGGAUUAAUACCUUAUAGUAUUUUUCUAACACAUGUUAGAAUUCUUAAAGCUCCGGCGGUAUAAGAUGAGUAUGCGUGAUAUUAGCUAGUUGGUGAGGUAACUGCUCACCAAGGCAACGAUAUCUAGGGGGUCUGAGAGGACUAUCCCCCACACUGGUACUGAGACACGGACCAGACUCCUACGGGAGGCAGCAGUGAGGAAUAUUGGGCAAUGGAGGCAACUCUGACCCAGCCAUGCCGCGUGAAGGAAGAAGGUUCUAUGGAUUGUAAACUUCUUUUAUUUGGGAAGAAACCUUUCUACGUGUAGAGAGCUGACGGUACCAAACGAAUAAGGACCGGCUAACUCCGUGCCAGCC